This 453-nucleotide ribosomal RNA is filed under the name uncultured bacterium. RNAcentral describes it as "partial 16S ribosomal RNA". It matches the Rfam family "Bacterial small subunit ribosomal RNA", at positions 29 to 507 of the family's 1533-position model. The record is from RNAcentral.
AACAAACGCUGGCGGCGUGCCUAAUACAUGCAAGUCGAACGGGGUAGCAAUACCUAGUGGCGCACGGGUGAGUAACGCGUGGAUAAUCUGCCUUAGAGUGGGGGAUAACUAGUCGAAAGAUUAGCUAAUACCGCAUAAGACCACAAGAGCUGCGGCUCAAGGGGUCAAAGGUUUUUCGCUCUAAGAUGAGUCCGCGUAAGAUUAGCUAGUUGGUGAGGUAAUGGCUCACCAAGGCGACGAUCUUUAACUGGUCUGAGAGGAUGAUCAGUCACACUGGAACUGAGACACGGUCAAGACUCCUACGGGAGGCAGCAGUAGGGAAUAUUGCACAAUGGAGGAAACUCUGAUGCAGCGACGCCGCGUGAGUGAUGAAGGCCUUCGGGUCGUAAAGCUCUGUCGCAGGGGAAUAACACAAUGAAUGUACCCUGUAAGAAAGGAUCGGCUAACUUCGUG